AGGGUUGCGAAACCGCGAGGUGGAGCCAAUCCAGCAAAACUUCCCUCAGUUCAGAUUGCAGGCUGCAACUCGCCUGCAUGAAGUUGGAGUUGCUAGUAAACGCAGGUCAGCCAUACUGCGUUGAAUACGUUCCCGGGGCUU
This 141-nucleotide ribosomal RNA is filed under the name uncultured Anaerolineaceae bacterium. Its description in RNAcentral is "partial 16S ribosomal RNA". It matches the Rfam family "Bacterial small subunit ribosomal RNA", at positions 1243 to 1382 of the family's 1533-position model. Lineage: Bacteria; Bacillati; Chloroflexota; Anaerolineae; Anaerolineales; Anaerolineaceae. The record is from RNAcentral.